GAUGAAGAACGUAGCGAAAUGCGAUAAGUAAUGUGAAUUGCAGAAUUCAGUGAAUCAUCGAAUCUUUGAACGCACAUUGCGCCCAUUAGUAUUCUAGUGGGCAUGCCUGUUCGAGCGUUAUUUCAACCCUUAAGCCUAGCUUAGUAUUGGGAAUCGACUUUACUGUCGUUCCUCAAAUUCAACGGCGGAUUUAUAGCAAUCUCUGAACGUAGUAAUUUUUUUUCUCGUUUUUGAAAUACUAUAAACCUCAGCCGCUAAACCCCCAAUUUCUUAUGGUUGACCUCGGAUCAGGUAGGAAUACCCGCUGAACUUAAGCAUAUCAAUAAGCGGAGGA
RNAcentral lists this unclassified non-coding RNA (334 nucleotides) under soil metagenome. RNAcentral describes it as "partial contains 5.8S ribosomal RNA, internal transcribed spacer 2, and large subunit ribosomal RNA". The stretch from base 1 to 120 matches the Rfam family "5.8S ribosomal RNA", at positions 35 to 154 of the family's 154-position model. The record is from RNAcentral.